UGGGGAAUCUUGGACAAUGGGGGCAACCCUGAUCCAGCCAUGCCGCGUGGGUGAAGAAGGCCUUAGGGUUGUAAAACCCUUUCAGCGGGGAAGAUGAUGACGGUACCCGCAGAAGAAGCCCCGGCUAACUCCGUGCCAGCAGCCGCGGUAAUACGGAGGGUGCAAGCGUUGUCCGGAUUUAUUGGGUUUAAAGGGUGCGUAGGUGGUUUAUUAAGUCAGUGGUGAAAGGCUGCAGCUCAACUGCAGGAGUGCCAUUGAUACUGGUAGACUUGAGUUUGGUCGAGGUAGGCGGAAUUUAUGGUGUAGCGGUGAAAUGCAUAGAUACCAUAAAGAACACCGAUAGUGAAGACAGCUUACUAGGCCUGAACUGACACUGAGGCACGAAAGCGUGGGGAGCGAACAGGAUUAGAUACCCCGGUAGUCC
Molecule: ribosomal RNA, 424 nt
Filed under: uncultured prokaryote
Description: bacterial SSU rRNA
Rfam family: Bacterial small subunit ribosomal RNA
Source: RNAcentral